GGGUGCUGCUCAGCAGAAUCAUGAUGAACUGGUGCAUGAGCUAGAAAGAUGCGAGCCCAUGCUAAAGGAGGUUGCUGCAGAACACGCACAUGGCCGACAGGUACCGGAUGAAGGACUUCCCCAGACAAAGGCUUCAAUAUUGCAUUUCCUGAUUUGGUUGUCUUGCUUAUGCCAAGGCUCCAACCAAGGACUGCCAGGCAGAAGGAAACGCGGAUGAU
This is a long non-coding RNA of Hordeum vulgare subsp. vulgare (domesticated barley), 218 nucleotides long. RefSeq lists it as uncharacterized. The transcript is spliced from 3 exons. The record is from RefSeq and is a predicted model, not a curated record. Lineage: Eukaryota; Viridiplantae; Streptophyta; Magnoliopsida; Poales; Poaceae.